Molecule: unclassified non-coding RNA, 351 nt
Filed under: Hevea brasiliensis (rubber tree)
Lineage: Eukaryota; Viridiplantae; Streptophyta; Magnoliopsida; Malpighiales; Euphorbiaceae
Source: RNAcentral
AAUAGUUCGAACCCUCAAAAUCUAAGCGGUUCCGUUUGUCCUGCCAAGGGACCGCCAGUUCCGGGCCUUGGCCGGGUCUAUUUGUAAGGAUAGUGAUAUUGAUAUAUUUGCAGAGAUUGAAGUUGAGCAAUUAGCAGCAAAUCCAAAUGUUGGUCCCACCAGAGAGAAACGAGUGGCGAAGAGCAGCCAAAUGGGUGAAGCUAACGGCAGCAGAAUGCCACACGUUUCUCUUCUUACCUAUCUUAUAUGUAUUCUUCUCAUUGGACAGAUGGCCAUACAACAACUGAUAUUCAAUUGCUGAUUCUCUUAGAAUGGGAGCUUGGUGAAGUAUUCUUUUGGGUUUCAUAUUGA